CAGAUACACUGUGAAAAUGGGUUUGAGUUGCAGUUGAGCUGAAGUGUGGUGGGAUGAAAAGGGCAAAGAACCCCGAACUAAGUUUUUAUAAGAGGCUGAAAGGAAAAACUGAGCGGAUACAGCCUUUGAGACAUCUGCAAGAAAAAUGGAAAAAAUGCUCCUACGACUCUCAAAGUAAAACCCGCGCUGACCCAGAGCUGUGGAAACCAAUCACCCACAGCUAUGAUGCUAAUGGUCUUCAUGGGGCGAUGGUACUGUGCACAAUGCAGUCAUAAGGGAUUAGAGCAGCUCUCUGCACAUGGACCUAUCACUCAUGGGUGAGGACAGCUGAGAGAAAAAGGGAGUUUCAACAGAAAAUGAUUUAACAACUUUGCAUCUGCCUUGAAUUCCAUUUCUCUGUGUGAUUGUGGAUUUCCUGCACUGUGACUGUUAAGUAAAAAAAAUACCCCCCCC
This is a long non-coding RNA of Oreochromis niloticus (Nile tilapia), 453 nucleotides long. RefSeq lists it as uncharacterized. The transcript has 3 exons. NCBI's taxonomy places the organism in Eukaryota, Metazoa, Chordata, Actinopteri, Cichliformes, Cichlidae. The record is from RefSeq and is a predicted model, not a curated record.